GCUAACAUCCGCCAAGUGGCUAGGAUUUGCCGCUCUCAUCAAAGAGCAGUUCGCUCCUGUAGCGCCGGCAAGGCCCGGGUUCGAUUCCCGGUGUCGGAA
Lophiotrema nucula is the source of this 99-nucleotide non-coding RNA. Lineage: Eukaryota; Fungi; Ascomycota; Dothideomycetes; Pleosporales; Lophiotremataceae. The record is from the annotation of a GenBank genome assembly.